GGGCCCGCACAAGCGGUGGAGCAUGUGGUUUAAUUCGAUGAUACGCGAGGAACCUUACCAGGGCUUAAAUGUAAGUUGCAUGGAUCAGAGAUGGUCCUUUCUUCGGACUACUUACAAGGUGCUGCAUGGUUGUCGUCAGCUCGUGCCGUGAGGUGUCAGGUUAAGUCCUAUAACGAGCGCAACCCCUAUUGUUAGUUGCCAGCGGGUCAAGCCGGGUACUCUAGCGAGACUGCCGGUGCAAACCGAGAGGAAGGUGGGGACGACAUCAAAUCAUCACGGCCCUUACGUCCUGGGCUACACACGUGCUACAAUGGCCGGUACAGAGAGCAGCCACCCCGCGAGGGGCGCGAAUCUAUAAAGCCGGUCUCAGUUCGGAUCGCAGUCUGCAACUCGACUGCGUGAAGCUGGAAUCGCUAGUAA
This 420-nucleotide ribosomal RNA is filed under the name uncultured bacterium. Its description in RNAcentral is "bacterial SSU rRNA". It matches the Rfam family "Bacterial small subunit ribosomal RNA", at positions 917 to 1341 of the family's 1533-position model. The record is from RNAcentral.